AAACCAACCGGGAUUGCCUCAGUAACGGCGAGUGAAGCGGCAAAAGCUCAAAUUUGAAAUCUGGUACCUUCGGUGCCCGAGUUGUAAUUUGUAGAGGGCGACUUUGGGGCGGCUCCUUGUCUAUGUUCCUUGGAACAGGACGUCAUAGAGGGUGAGAAUCCCGUGUGGCGAGGAGUGCGGUUCCGUGUAAAGCGCUCUCGAAGAGUCGAGUUGUUUGGGAAUGCAGCUCUAAGUGGGUGGUAAAUUACAUCUAAAGCUAAAUAUUGGCGAGAGACCGAUAGCGAACAAGUACAGUGAUGGAAAGAUGAAAAGAACUUUGAAAAGAGAGUGAAAAAGUACGUGAAAUUGUUGAAAGGGAAGGGCAUUUGAUCAGACAUGGUGUUUUGCGCCCCCCGCUCCUUGUGGGUGGGGGACUCUCGCAGCUCACUGGGCCAGCAUCAGUUUUGGCGGCCGGACAAAACUGCAGGAACGUAGCUUGCUUCGGGAAGUGUUACAGCCUGCAGGAAUACGGCCAGCCGGGACUGAGGAAUGCGAUUCGUCAAGGAUGCUGGCAUAAUGGUUAUAUGCCGC
This 570-nucleotide ribosomal RNA is filed under the name Maudiozyma humilis. Its description in RNAcentral is "LSU rRNA". It matches the Rfam family "Eukaryotic large subunit ribosomal RNA", at positions 62 to 648 of the family's 3401-position model. The record is from RNAcentral. Lineage: Eukaryota; Fungi; Ascomycota; Saccharomycetes; Saccharomycetales; Saccharomycetaceae.